AAGUAAUUUGCAUAAUCCCAUUUGUAACCUUUGUAUCUUAUGCUUCGGCUUCUUCUUUAUUUCUCAGUCGAGAAAAACCAAUGGAACUCUCCACCAUCUCCAUCCCUGCCACCACCAUCUCCAUCUCGUCACUGUAUAGCCUUCCGAAUUCCGCCACCAUCACCACCACCUCCAUCACGGCCAUCACCAAGACUGCAACAUCUUGUUCAAUAUCCAAGCAUCCUGUAUUGGAUCUAAAUCUGUAGAAAAUUAUCAGAUCUGUACCAACUCUUAUUCUGGUUGUUCGAAUCUGGAUUAGAAUACAACGAAGUCGUUUUAUGAGAUUUAAAGCAUGUAUACGAUGGUUUUUGAUUGAAGGCUCCUCAUAGGUGAUGAUGUUUUAUGGGAUAAUUGUGAAGAGGGACUUCAAGUAUAUAGGAGGUGGAAGACGAUCUUAUGCAAAAGGUGGAAGACGAUCUUAUUACGGUACAUAUUCAGAGGGUUUCACACUGGAUAACUGACUUAGAAAUCAGUGGACAAAUCACAAAGGCUUUCAUGAAUCACCUCAUCUAUGAUCCUGGAGUACUCCUCGAAAGGUUCAUUAUCACUGCGAAAGAAUAAAUCAACCUCAUUUUCGUGACUAGUAUUCUUUGGUUCUGGAUGUGCUAGUUGAUCCCAGAUUUUGGAAAUAACCUAUGCAAGUUUAUCCCAGAUUCGGAGACAACUUGUACAUGUUGCUUCUGAAAUGAGAUAAUACGAGGUUUCUGGGUUCCAAAUCUGGGAACAACUUAUCCAAGUUGCUUCCGCCACUGGAGACAACUUCUGCUAGUUGCUUCUAUUGCUGGAGACAACUUCUCCUAGUUGCUUCGAGAAUGAGAUAUUACAAGUGCUUGUGUUCCAGAUUUUGGGAACAACUCACCAAGUUGUUUCCAAUACUGAAGACAACUUAUGCUAGUUGCUUCCAUCUUUGAAGAACUUGAACCAAGUUGCUUCCUCUAAAAGAAAACUUGCAUGGUUCUGUUUAUAUUUUUAUACGUUUCCUUCUAGAUAUGCACACCUGCAAUCAUAUAACAACACUGACUGUAUCUGUAAUCAUAUAACAAAUUGUAUAUGCAGUCAUAUUUCAGUAAUAAAUAUAAAUAAUUCAUUCUUUCAUGUUAACAAUUAAAGUCUACAUCUCAAUAUUCAUUCAACAGUAACAUAACUAAUACUGAAAAGAGUGUAUCCUUUCAUGAAUAGAUCUUUUCCACAGGUUUACAUCGGUGCUACAAUUUAGCUUUCAACCAAUCACAUUCAGAUCUGUUUCUUUCUGAAGCCUUUCCACAUUCAUCUUGAUCCUUUU
Papaver somniferum (opium poppy) is the source of this 1321-nucleotide long non-coding RNA. RefSeq lists it as uncharacterized. The transcript is spliced from 5 exons. NCBI's taxonomy places the organism in Eukaryota, Viridiplantae, Streptophyta, Magnoliopsida, Ranunculales, Papaveraceae. The record is from RefSeq and is a predicted model, not a curated record.